This 480-nucleotide ribosomal RNA is filed under the name uncultured bacterium. Its description in RNAcentral is "partial 16S ribosomal RNA". It matches the Rfam family "Bacterial small subunit ribosomal RNA", at positions 28 to 507 of the family's 1533-position model. The record is from RNAcentral.
GAUGAACGCUGGCGGCGUGCUUAACACAUGCAAGUCGAACGGAACUACUCCAAUGAGAGUCUUCGGAAAGGAUUUGGUUUAGUUUAGUGGCGGACGGGUGAGUAACUCGUGGGUAACCUGCCCUAUACAGGGGGAUAACAGUUUGAAACGACUGUUAAUACCGCAUAAGCGCACAGGAGCGCAUGCUCCGGUGUGAAAAACUCCGGUGGUAUAGGAUGGACCCGCGUCUGAUUAGCUGGUUGGCGGGGUAACGGCCCACCAAGGCGACGAUCAGUAGCCGGCCUGAGAGGGGGAACGGCCACAUUGGGAAUGAGACACGGACCAAACUCCUACGGGAGGCAGCAGUGGGGAAUAUUGCACAAUGGGGGAAACCCUGAUGCAGCGACGCCGCGUGAGCGAAGAAGUAUCUCGGUAUGUAAAGCUAGAUGAGAAGGGAAGAAAAUGACGGUACCUGAAUAAGAAGCCCCGGCUAACUACGUG